RNAcentral lists this ribosomal RNA (151 nucleotides) under uncultured Chloroflexota bacterium. RNAcentral's name for it is "uncultured Chloroflexi bacterium partial 16S ribosomal RNA". It matches the Rfam family "Bacterial small subunit ribosomal RNA", at positions 1232 to 1382 of the family's 1533-position model. Lineage: Bacteria; Bacillati; Chloroflexota. The record is from RNAcentral.
GGGUGAUACAACGGGUUGCGAGAGAGCGAUCGUGGAGCUAAUCCCUAAAAUACAUCCUCGGUUCGGAUUGCAGGCUGAAACUGCCUGCAUGAAGUUGGAGUUGCUAGUAACCGCAGGUCAGCACACUGCGGUGAAUACGUUCUCGGGCCUU